UUAGGCAUGCAAGUCGAACGAGAAGCCUCCUUCGGGAGGUGGACAGUGGCAAACGGGGUAGUAAGGCGUAGGUAACGUACCCUGGGGACCAGGAUAGCUACGGGAAACUGUAGGUAAUACUGGAUGAUCUCUUGUUGCAUGAUCGCGAUGAGAGCAAAGGUGUGAUUCCACCCUGGGAGCGGCUUGCGUAGUAUUAGCUAGUUGGUGAGGUAACGGCUCACCAAGGCAUCGAUGCUUAGGGGGUGUUAGCGCAUGACCCCCACCACUGGGACUGAGAUACUGCCCAGACACCUACGGGUGGCUGCAGUCGAGAAUCUUUGGCAAUGGGCGCAAGCCUGACCAAGCGACGCCGCGUGCGGGAUGAAGGCCCUUGGGUUGUAAACCGCUGUCAGAGGGGAUGAAGUGCCGGAUGGUAAUUAAUAAUCCAUUCGGUUUGACAUAGCCUCAGAGGAAGCACGGGCUAAGUUCGUGCCAGCAGCCGCGGUAAUACGAACUGUGCAAACGUUAUUCGGAAUCACUGGGCUUAAAGGGUGCGUAGGCGGCUGUCUAAGCAGGGUGUGAAAGCCCCCGGCUCAACCGGGGAAUUGCGUUCUGAACUGGACGGCUGGAGUGGGAUAGGGGUGUGUGGAACUUCCGGUGGAGCGGUGAAAUGUGUUGAUAUCGGAAGGAACGCCGGUGGCGAAAGCGACACACUGGGUCUCAACUGACGCUGAGGCACGAAAGCAG
Molecule: ribosomal RNA, 726 nt
Filed under: uncultured soil bacterium
Lineage: Bacteria
Description: bacterial SSU rRNA
Rfam family: Bacterial small subunit ribosomal RNA
Source: RNAcentral